UACGGAGGGGGCGAGCGUUAUUCGGAAUUAUUGGGCGUAAAGGGCGCGUAGGCGGCUUGAUGUGUCAAAGGUGAAAUCCCUCGGCUCAACUGAGGAACUGCCUUUGAAACUGUCUGGCUUGAGGCCGGGAGAGGGUAGCGGAAUUCCCAGUGUAGCGGUGAAAUGCGUAGAUACUGGGAGGAACACCGGUGGCGAAGGCGGCUACCUGGACCACUACUGACGCUGAGAAGCGAAAGCAUGGGGAGCGAACAGG
RNAcentral lists this ribosomal RNA (253 nucleotides) under uncultured bacterium. RNAcentral describes it as "partial 16S ribosomal RNA". It matches the Rfam family "Bacterial small subunit ribosomal RNA", at positions 524 to 776 of the family's 1533-position model. The record is from RNAcentral.